Molecule: ribosomal RNA, 495 nt
Filed under: uncultured bacterium
Lineage: Bacteria
Description: partial 16S ribosomal RNA
Rfam family: Bacterial small subunit ribosomal RNA
Source: RNAcentral
UGAACGCUGGCGGCGUGCCUACUACAUGCAAGUCGAGCGAACGGACGCGAAGCUUGCUUCUCUGAUGUUAGCGGCGGACGGGUGAGUAACACGUGGAUAACCUACCUAUAAGACUGGGAUAACUUCGGGAAACCGGAGCUAAUACCGGAUAAUAUUUUGAACCGCAUGGUUCAAAAGUGAAAGACGGUCUUGCUGUCACUUAUAGAUGGAUCCGCGCUGCAUUAGCUAGUUGGUAAGGUAACGGCUUACCAAGGCAACGAUGCAUAGCCGACCUGAGAGGGUGAUCGGCCACACUGGAACUGAGACACGGUCCAGACUCCUACGGGAGGCAGCAGUAGGGAAUCUUCCGCAAUGGGCGAAAGCCUGACGGAGCAACGCCGCGUGAGUGAUGAAGGUCUUCGGAUCGUAAAACUCUGUUAUUAGUGAAGAACAUAUGUGUAAGUAACUGUGCACAUCUUGACGGUACCUAAUCAGAAAGCCACGGCUAACUACGUG